Molecule: ribosomal RNA, 1273 nt
Filed under: Blochmannia endosymbiont of Camponotus sericeiventris
Lineage: Bacteria; Pseudomonadati; Pseudomonadota; Gammaproteobacteria; Enterobacterales; Enterobacteriaceae
Description: bacterial SSU rRNA
Rfam family: Bacterial small subunit ribosomal RNA
Source: RNAcentral
UUUGAUCAUGGCUCAGAUUGAACGCUGACGGUAAGCUUAACACAUGCAAGUCGAGCGGCGAACAGGAAGUAGGCCUUGAUUAUUGUCUAUAAUUGGGGUUUAUUUUGUCUGGCAAGCGGCGAACGGGUGAGUAAGGUCUGGGGAUCUACCCGAAGGAGGGGGAUAACUGUUGGAAACGAUAGCUAAUACCGCAUGGUAUCGAUAAGAUUAAAGUAGGGGACUAAGUAUCUGUAUAUUAAAAUAAAAUAGAUAAUUAGCCUUAUGCCAUCGGAUGAACCCAGAUAGGAUUAGCUAGUAGGUAAGGUAAAGGCUUACCUAGGCUGCGAUCCUUAGCUGGUCUGAGAGGACGAUCAGCCACACUGGAACUGAGACACGGUCCAGACUCCUACGGGAGGCAGCAGUGGGGAAUAUUGCACAAUGGGGGAAACCCUGAUGCAGCUAUACCGUGUGUGUGAAGAAGGCCUUAGGGUUGUAAAGCACUUUCAAUGGGGAAGAAUUUAAGAUCGCUAAUAUCGGUUUUAAUUGACGUUACCCAUAUAAGAAGCACCGGCUAACUCCGUGCCAGCAGCCGCGGUAAUACGGAGGGUGCGAGCGUUAAUCGGAAUAACUGGGCGUAAAGAGUACGUAGGUGGUUUAUUAAGUCAGAUGUGAAAUCCCUCAGCUUAACUUGGGAACUGCAUUUGAAACUGGUAGACUAGAGUUUCGUAGAGGGGGGUAGAAUUCCAGGUGUAGCGGUGAAAUGCGUAGAGAUCUGGAGGAAUACCAGUGGCGAAGGCGGCCCCCUGGACGAAAACUGACACUCAGGUACGAAAGCAUGGGGAGCAAACAGGAUUAGAUACCCUGGUAGUCCAUGCCGUAAACGACGUCGAUUUGAAGGUUGUGACCUUUGAGUUAUGGCUUUCGGAGCUAACGCGUUAAAUCGACCGCCUGGGGAGUACGACCGCAAGGUUAAAACUCAAAUGAAUUGACGGGGGCCCGCACAAGCGGUGGAGCAUGUGGUUUAAUUCGAUGCAACACGAAGAACCUUACCUACUCUUGACAUCCAAAGAACUGUGUAGAAAUAUGCGGGUGCCUUAGGGGGCUUUGAGACAGGUGCUGCAUGGCUGUCGUCAGCUCGUGUUGUGAAAUGUUGGGUUAAGUCCCGCAACGAGCGCAACCCUUGUCCUUUGUUGCCAGCGAGUAAAGUCGGGAACUCAAAGGAGACUGCCGGUGAUAAACCGGAGGAAGGUGAGGAUGACGUCAAGUCAUCAUGGCCCUUAUGAGUAGGGCUACA